RNAcentral lists this ribosomal RNA (533 nucleotides) under uncultured bacterium. RNAcentral describes it as "bacterial SSU rRNA". It matches the Rfam family "Bacterial small subunit ribosomal RNA", at positions 8 to 536 of the family's 1533-position model. The record is from RNAcentral.
AGAGUUUGAUCCUGGCUCAGAUUGAACGCUGGCGGCAUGCCUUACACAUGCAAGUCGAACGGCAGCACGGAGCUUGCUCUGGUGGCGAGUGGCGAACGGGUGAGCAAUAUAUCGGAACGUACCCUAGAGUGGGGGAUAACGUAGCGAAAGUUACGCUAAUACCGCAUACGAUCUAAGGAUGAAAGUGGGGGAUCGCAAGACCUCAUGCUCGUGGAGCGGCCGAUAUCUGAUUAGCUAGUUGGUAGGGUAAAAGCCUACCAAGGCAUCGAUCAGUAGCUGGUCUGAGAGGACGACCAGCCACACUGGAACUGAGACACGGUCCAGACUCCUACGGGAGGCAGCAGUGGGGAAUUUUGGACAAUGGGCGAAAGCCUGAUCCAGCAAUGCCGCGUGAGUGAAGAAGGCCUUCGGGUUGUAAAGCUCUUUUGUCAGGGAAGAAACGGUGAGAGCUAAUAUCUCUUGCUAAUGACGGUACCUGAAGAAUAAGCACCGGCUAACUACGUGCCAGCAGCCGCGGUAAUACGUAGGGUGCA